Non-coding RNA from Paramuricea clavata, 3059 nucleotides. The record is from the annotation of a GenBank genome assembly. Lineage: Eukaryota; Metazoa; Cnidaria; Anthozoa; Malacalcyonacea; Plexauridae.
ACAUUAAUUUAUAACUUUCAUGUUGUUUUGCAAAUUUGAUUUGAUUUUAAAGGAAUCCCAGAUAGUUAAUUAGAAGUCUGCUAGAUUUUAUCAGAUCACAUGACCAGCUCCUAGUUACCUGUGUCUUUCCUCCACAAGAGGUAAGAGCCUGGGAACGAGGUUGGUGCAAAACAAGUGCACCACAAAGUUCAAGACAUACUAUUUUUGAAGAAAUGCCAAGGCUUAUGAUUCUGAACUAACGAACUCACACAGCGAAUAUGAAGUAAUGCAAUUCAUUUGGGCACUGCAACCAAAGUGUUCAACAGAAAUUCCAGAAAUUUUGUGGCCUGAUGCCUAUUGAAUAUCACUAGAUAGGACUAUGUGUAUUUAUAUAAUUAUAUCUAUGGAGGACUUGUAUUUCGAACAUGUAAUAGAAUGAGACAAUGAUGGCAGUGAAACUACAAAGAUUGUUGAUUUAUGCAAAUGAAUUUGACUUCGGGAUUGGUAGCACUGGACUGCGAGCUUGCUUCUGUUGAAGUGCUUUGAUAUAGGUAAUAGGAUGGAACUACAUCAAAGCAUACUUCCUUAAUUGUGAUGUCAGGAUUGGUAGCAGAGGCUUUUCUAUUCAAGUGCUUUGUUGGAGGUAGUUGCCUGCCUUAUACUUCUGUGUCAGUUAAUCGCGAACGGUCACACCACAGUUAAUCUUGUGCCAGUGUAGGUAGUGCCAACAAUGACAAAACUUUGGUUGGUAUGAGUGCAACUACCUGAAAAAUAAAAGGGCAAAAUUUGACAUUUCGAAUGAAGGGCCUUCACUCGAAAUGCCGAAUUUCUCCUUGUAUUUUUCAGGUAGUUGCUUUCAUACCAACUGACGUUCUGUGUCAGUUAACUAGAAUUAUAUAUAAGAUGCUAGUUAUGGCUAUAUGGAGUUGAUCUUUCUUCUAAUGAAGUUUUUUUGCUGAAGUGUGCAUCAUGACUUAUUUAAAUACAUCUAAAUCAUUCCGCCUCGUAUCUCAUCCUGGCAAAGCGGGAUCAUAAAAACAGUCCCUUAUUCAGCAAAUUGCGCAUGCUGCCUUUGAUCCCUUGGGGGUGAGGCAGCACUUUCCUUGCGAUAGUAACUUCUAGUAUAUAAGAUGCUAGUUAUGGCUAUAUGGAGUUGAUCUUUCUUCUAAUUCUGGCUACGUACUGACUCUGUCUGUCGACGCCCUGCCGAAAGUCGUGGGUUUUCUUUGGGCACUUUGGUUUCCUCCCACAGGGAAAGUUGACAAGGUGGGUUAGGAUAAACACAGUUUUAGAAAGUAAUCAUAAUUGUUGUAAAGAUAAAUAGUCUAGGCUAGGUAAGUAACAUAGGUAAGCAUAAUACUUGAUGUAAUCGGUCACUGAAGAGCCGCAGUGGGGAGUGAACUAAUGUAAUGUAAUGUAAUGUAAUUACAAUGGUGUGGCAUAAGUUGUUUAAAAUUGUGUACGUGGUAAAAUAUCAGAUAUUUGACAACUGUGAAAUAGUGUUGUUUCCACGAAGACAGAUAGAGAAACACUAGAUCAUCUAUUAAAUGAUCAUAAAAUAAGUUUUUGAUGAAGUCAUAAAUUAAUAUUGAGAUAAAGAUAAAAUUUUUGACAGGGCACAUUUUUCACUUGUACAAAUGGCACGUACUACAACGAAAAUAGUUUAGGAAUACCGGUUGAAAAAUUACUUCCCAGUCAGGUAAAACCUUGGAUUUAAGAUGGAGCAAUUAAGUCCAGUGACCAGUUAGCAGUGACAUUCUCUACGAAGAAACAAGAAGUACACACUAAGAAAAUAAUUAUCAGUGAGCUGCAUUCACUUGUCGAACCAUUUGCUGUUAUUUCGUUUAAAUUACAUACUAUUUAAUAUGGACCGGGGGGGUCCAUAUCCACUAGUAGAUUUGGACCAGGGAGUCCAAAUCUACGGGGGUCCAAAUCAACUGGGACAGCGGCACUCAUUCAAGGGCGGUGUUCUUUAUAAAAUAUCUAACUAUAUUAUAUCUAUAUAUUAAUAUUAAUCUAUCUACAAAAAGUUCUAACAUAGGUUAUCAGGCCCAUGGAGACACUAGUAGGAUGAGCUGGUACAUCUGGCACAAUGUAUUACACAAGGGUGGGUGAUCAGGUUAAGGAGCUAACUUUUCCAGAAGUAUGAUAUAGCCUAGAACUUGUCUCCUGUAUCAAACAACAGCUUAUCUGUUAAGGCCAUUUCCACUCGAGAAAAAUUUCCAUGGAAAGAAAAUGUUCCAAAAAUGUCAUUGUUAAAAUGUCAUUGUGUCGGCCAAUCUCAUUUUACAAAAUUUUCUUUCUGCGUAAAAUUUUUCCUGAGUGGAAAUGGGCCUUUAGACGAGAGUUGUAAGCAGUCUGUUUAUAAUCGUGUUUAGCAUGUAAAAGAUUAGAAUGAAAAAAGAGGAAGACAUGUUGAAACACGGGAAAAUUGGGGAGCUUAAGGCUAAGCAAGCAAGAAAGCAACGUGAAAACAAUGGUUGUGAAUUCAUUGAAAUAUCAUUUAGCCCAGAUGAAAUGAAUAAUUAAAUUUUAAAAUGAAUAAUUAAAUAUCCAAGUCCUUAAUAAACCAACGGAACGAUGUUUUAAUACUGACGAAAACCAACAACAAAUUAAUUUGUGGAUUUCACUAUGAGAUUAGUGGUGGAUUUACGAAGGAAUAGUUUACAAAAAAGUACUGAACACUUAAGAUAAGCUUACCUCAACUUAGAGUAGAACGUGUCGCGAUGUCUUGUUGGAAUGUACGAUAGAGUACAUGGCGAUUACCCUCUGAUUUUGAAACUAGCAUCUGAAUUCAUUUACGCUAUCUAGUAAGGAACUCCAUCGAAAAUGUAUUUGCUUCUAUUUGGUUGUAAUUAACCUAACAAUUAAGAGCGUUUCACCUGGUACUUUUAGUAAAAUUGUUGACCAAGGAAUUUAAGACAUCACAAAAUAAAACAGAACAGAACAGAACAGAACAAAUGAAUUGUAUUCCGACUACGCGAAGGCGUUUGUUACAGCUUUGUAUGCAUGCCCUAUGAUGUGAUAAAGGUUGUGUCCCACAUUGAUGUGAACAGCCCCAGCCCACAUCAAUGUCUUCA